CUGCACACUGCGACCGCUUUUCUGAGCGGCGCCCCCAGGUCCGGGAGGGAGAAGCUGGCCUGCCCGCGGCGCCUACAGGAAUGUCACCGCGGGUCUCGGAGGCUGAAUUACAAAGUCUUCUUUUUUGAUUCUCAAGAGACUGUUUGAGCCAAAUGUGGUGGUGCACACCUGUAAUGCCAGUGACUCAGGAGGCUGAGGCAGGAGGACUGCAAAUUCAAGACCAUCCUCAGCAACUUACAAAGGCCCUAGACAAUUUAUGAAGACUCCAUCUCAAAAUAAAAAAUAAAAAUGCCUGUGGAGGUGGCUAGCUCAGUGGUUAAGCACUCUUGGGUUCAAUUUUUAGUACAAAAAAAAAAAAAAAGAAGAAGAAGAAGAAGAGGAGGAGAGAGAGAGAGAUUGUUUGAAAUUUUACCCUACAUUUCAACCUGGUCAUCCUAAUUCUCCUGCUCAGACUCUGAAAACACUAUUACACUGAACUGAAACCUCCUAGUUCACCUACUUAAUCAACAACUUUUGUUAAAUGCAAACUGUAUCUAUGGCGCUGCGCUUGGUCUGUUGGACCUGUACAAAUGAACACAGUAAUGCUUCCUUCAAAAAGCUAAGAUGCAGAGGAUUAAGGGAUUAAUUGGGAUAAAGUAAGAAAAGAAACUAGUUGGCAUGAGAUUGUGAAGUGAUGGUGGGGGAAUUUAAGAACAAGCACCCAUAUGGCUUCAAUCUUGUGAGUUCCUGUGAAGCAAAUGAUGUGCAAGGAAAAGGGGCUUCAGUUGUUGGAAAACAUUAGAAAGUAUCACUGUGGGGAAUGCCAAAGUGGAAUUCCACAUAUUUCUUUCCCAAUAUCCCUAAAUCAGGGUUGAGUGCUGAAGCCUGAAAGGGCCUGUCAUCUUUGACAUAAAAUAUAGACUGAGUUUUGAAUCAUAUCAGAGCAUAAUACUUUAUAACUAAAAGCAAUGACUGCUCUUCUCCUCCCCUGCCCAUAAGUUCUAUCAUAACCAGCUCUGAUUUUCUAAUCCCUUCUGUUAAAAUGAAGACCUCCACUACAAGUAGAAAAAAAAAAAAAA
Ictidomys tridecemlineatus (thirteen-lined ground squirrel) is the source of this 1058-nucleotide long non-coding RNA. RefSeq lists it as uncharacterized. Lineage: Eukaryota; Metazoa; Chordata; Mammalia; Rodentia; Sciuridae. The record is from RefSeq and is a predicted model, not a curated record.